RNAcentral lists this transfer RNA (73 nucleotides) under Ailuropoda melanoleuca (giant panda). It matches the Rfam family "tRNA". Rfam says of the family: Transfer RNA (tRNA) molecules are approximately 80 nucleotides in length. Lineage: Eukaryota; Metazoa; Chordata; Mammalia; Carnivora; Ursidae. The record is from Rfam by way of RNAcentral.
ACCUGGCUGGCUAUUUUGGUAGAGCAUAAGACUCUUGAUCUUGGGGUUGUGAGUUUGAGCCCCAUGUUGGGUG